GAUGAACGCUGGCGGCGUGCCUAAUACAUGCAAGUCGAGCGAACGGACGAGAAGCUUGCUUCUCUGAUGUUAGCGGCGGACGGGUGAGUAACACGUGGAUAACCUACCUAUAAGACUGGGAUAACUUCGGGAAACCGGAGCUAAUACCGGAUAAUAUUUUGAACCGCAUGGUUCAAAAGUGAAAGACGGUCUUGCUGUCACUUAUAGAUGGAUCCGCGCUGCAUUAGCUAGUUGGUAAGGUAACGGCUUACCAAGGCAACGAUGCAUAGCCGACCUGAGAGGGUGAUCGGCCACACUGGAACUGAGACACGGUCCAGACUCCUACGGGAGGCAGCAGUAGGGAAUCUUCCGCAAUGGGCGAAAGCCUGACGGAGCAACGCCGCGUGAGUGAUGAAGGUCUUCGGAUCGUAAAACUCUGUUAUUAGGGAAGAACAUAUGUGUAAGUAACUGUGCACAUCUUGACGGUACCUAAUCAGAAAGCCACGGCUAACUACGUGCCAGCAGCCGCGGUAAUACGUAGGUGGCAAGCGUUAUCCGGAAUUAUUGGGCGUAAAGCGCGCGUAGGCGGUUUUUUAAGUCUGAUGUGAAAGCCCACGGCUCAACCGUGGAGGGUCAUUGGAAACUGGAAAACUUGAGUGCAGAAGAGGAAAGUGGAAUUCCAUGUGUAGCGGUGAAAUGCGCAGAGAUAUGGAGGAACACCAGUGGCGAAGGCGACUUUCUGGUCUGUAACUGACGCUGAUGUGCGAAAGCGUGGGGAUCAAACAGGAUUAGAUACCCUGGUAGUCCACGCCGUAAACGAUGAGUGCUAAGUGUUAGGGGGUUUCCGCCCCUUAGUGCUGCAGCUAACGCAUUAAGCACUCCGCCUGGGGAGUACGACCGCAAGGUUGAAACUCAAAGGAAUUGACGGGGACCCGCACAAGCGGUGGAGCAUGUGGUUUAAUUCGAAGCAACGCGAAGAACCUUACCAAAUCUUGACAUCCUUCGACAACUCUAGAGAUAGAGCUUUCCCCUUCGGGGGACAAAGUGACAGGUGGUGCAUGGUUGUCGUCAGCUCGUGUCGUGAGAUGUUGGGUUAAGUCCCGCAACGAGCGCAACCCUUAAGCUUAGUUGCCAUCAUUAAGUUGGGCACUCUAAGUUGACUGCCGGUGACAGACCGGAGGAAGGUGGGGAUGACGUCAAAUCAUCAUGCCCCUUAUGAUUUGGGCUACACACGUGCUACAAUGGACAAUACAAAGGGCAGCGAAACCGCGAGGUCAAGCAAAUCCCAUAAAGUUGUUCUCAGUUCGGAUUGUAGUCUGCAACUCGACUACAUGAAGCUGGAAUCGCUAGUAAUCGUAGAUCAGCAUGCUACGGUGAAUACGUUCCCGGGUCU
RNAcentral lists this ribosomal RNA (1372 nucleotides) under uncultured bacterium. RNAcentral's name for it is "bacterial SSU rRNA". It matches the Rfam family "Bacterial small subunit ribosomal RNA", at positions 28 to 1381 of the family's 1533-position model. The record is from RNAcentral.